UCCUUAGGAUGCAGAGACCACCAACAUACUCCUUCCUGACUUCAUUGUACCCAACUGGGAUGACAUAAGGGCUUCCCACGUGGCGCUAGUGUUAAAGAACCCUCCUGCCAGUGCAGAGGAGAUAAGAGACGCGGGUUCGAUCUUCUUGGGAAGAUCCCCUGAAAGAGGGCAUGGCCACCCACUCCAGUAUUCUUGCCUGGAGAAUCCCAUGGACAGAGGAGCCUGGCGGACUACGGUCCAUGGGGUCACAGAGUCAGACACGAUGGAAGCAACGCAGCACACAUGCCCACAAGAUGACAAUAAAUAAGGCCGUUCUGUUUCCAGGACACCCAAAGCAUCUCAGGAAGUGUCAGAAGAUUCUCAGAGAGGGUUGUUGAGAGGCGGUGCAGGACCCAGAGGGAGAACAGACGAAAGCUGAAUUUCGCUGACGUGGAGAUGACCUGGGAGCCAAAGAUCUGACUUCGGUUCCUGGUUUUUGCCCCUUCCCGCCUCUUGGGCUUGACUCUUUUCUUUCUCUUGUCCUCUGAGGCCUCAGUUUCCCCGCCUGAGAUGUGCAGCCAGAACAAUUUGCUAAUCCACCGCCCAUGGAUGCGCGGAAAAAAUAUUUUGAAUUCCCACCAUCUUUUUUUCCUUUGAAUGAACUUGUUUAUCCGCUGGUCAGGGUCAGAGAGGGUCGAGGAGGAGGAGCAGCGAGGGGAGUGCCAUCCAGCUAAGCUGACAUGACGCGUUGGAAGGUCAGAGCCCACGGACCCCUGGACAGAGGGCCGUGUUGUUGGGCUUCGGAGUGCCCUUCUGGAAGCCAGUGGCCGGGUCUGAUGCAAGCGUGCCAGGAACUCCUGGGCCUGAAGAUCCCUGCUCAGAACAGAGGAGGCAAUGGAUUCUUUUGGAAAGGCUGCCUUUCGGCAUCUCAUCUCCAUGCAGUGGCUGAGCCUAGUGCCCUGUGUAUUUGCACUGGCUGGGACGCUGAAUUCACUGGAGAUAGAAGAAAACCAAGAGACUCAAGACCGGCAUCGCCAGCUCCCUGAGGGGGAAGGAGAGGUCCAUGGUACCCGAGUGCCACAGCCGCCUCCCCCGACCACCAUCGUCUGCUUUCUAAAUAAACCCCCGAGACGGAGCCGUGGGGGGUUAUAA
RNAcentral lists this long non-coding RNA (1131 nucleotides) under Bos indicus x Bos taurus (hybrid cattle). Its description in RNAcentral is "lncRNA (ENSBIXG00005030040.1)". The record is from RNAcentral. Lineage: Eukaryota; Metazoa; Chordata; Mammalia; Artiodactyla; Bovidae.